GAUGAACGCUGGCGGCGUGCCUAAUACAUGCAAGUCGAACGAAACUUCUUUAUCACCGAGUGCUUGCACUCACCGAUAAAGAGUUGAGUGGCGAACGGGUGAGUAACACGUGGGCAGCCUGCCCAAAAGAGGGGGAUAACACUUGGAAACAGGUGCUAAUACCGCAUAACCAUAGUUACCGCAUGGUAACUAUGUAAAAGGUGGCUAUACUACCGCUUUUGGAUGGGCCCGCGGCGCAUUAACUAGUUGGUAGGGUAAAGGCUUACCAAGGCAAUGAUGCGUAGCCGAAUUGAGAGGUUGAUCGGCCACAUUGGGACUGAGACACGGCCCAAACUCCUACGGGAGGCAGCAGUAGGGAAUCUUCCACAAUGGGCGAAAGCCUGAUGGAGCAACGCCGCGUGGGUGAAGAAGGUCUUCGGAUCGUAAAACCCUGUUGUUAGAGAAGAAAGUGCGUGAGAGUAACUGUUCACGUUUCGACGGUAUCUAACCAGAAAGCCACGGCUAACUACGUG
Molecule: ribosomal RNA, 512 nt
Filed under: uncultured bacterium
Lineage: Bacteria
Description: partial 16S ribosomal RNA
Rfam family: Bacterial small subunit ribosomal RNA
Source: RNAcentral